Molecule: ribosomal RNA, 506 nt
Filed under: uncultured Verrucomicrobiota bacterium
Lineage: Bacteria; Pseudomonadati; Verrucomicrobiota
Description: bacterial SSU rRNA
Rfam family: Bacterial small subunit ribosomal RNA
Source: RNAcentral
AACGAACGCUGGCGGCGUGGAUAAGACAUGCAAGUCGAACGAGACGAGAGCUUAGCUUGCUUUGCUCAAGUUUAGUGGCGAACGGGUGAGUAACACGUGAGCAACCUGCCCAGAAGCAGGGGAUAGCCCACCGAAAGGUGGAUUAAUACCGUAUGUGAUUGUCGAGGGAUUCCUCGACGUAUCAAAGGUGGGGAUCUUCGGACCUGCCGCUUCUGGAUGGGCUCGCGGCCUAUCAGCUUGUUGGUGAGGUAACGGCUCACCAAGGCUACGACGGGUAGCUGGUCUGAGAGGAUGAUCAGUCACACUGGAACUGAGACACGGUCCAGACACCUACGGGUGGCAGCAGUCGAGAAUCAUUCGCAAUGGGGGAAACCCUGACGGUGCGACGCCGCGUGGAGGAUGACGGCCCUAGGGUUGUAAACUCCUGUCAUCGGGGAGUAAGGUCUGCAGUUUAAUAGGCUGCAGGAUUGAUAGUACCCGAAGAGGAAGAGACGGCUAACUCUGUG